GACGAACGCUGGCGGCGUGCUUAACACAUGCAAGUCGAACGGAAAGGCCCUGCUUUUGUGGGUUGCUCGAGUGGCGAACGGGUGAGUAACACGUGAGUAACCUGCCCUUGACUUUGGGAUAACUUCAGGAAACUGGGGCUAAUACCGGAUAGGAGCUCCUGCUGCAUGGUGGUGGUUGGAAAGUUUCGGCGGUGGGGGAUGGACUCGCGGCUUAUCAGCUUGUUGGUGGGGUAGUGGCUUACCAAGGCUUUGACGGGUAGCCGGCCUGAGAGGGUGACAGGCGACAUUGGGACUGAGAUACGGCACAGACUCCUACGGGAGGCAGCAGUGGGGAAUAUUGCACAAUGGGCGGAAGCCUGAUGCAGAAACGCCGCGUGCGGGAUAACGGCCUUAGGGUUGUAAACCGCUUUCGCCUGUGACGAAGCGUGAGUGACGGUAAUGGGUAAAGAAGCACCGGCUAACUACGUG
RNAcentral lists this ribosomal RNA (468 nucleotides) under uncultured bacterium. Its description in RNAcentral is "partial 16S ribosomal RNA". It matches the Rfam family "Bacterial small subunit ribosomal RNA", at positions 28 to 507 of the family's 1533-position model. The record is from RNAcentral.